AGUGAACGCUGGCGGUAGGCCUAACACAUGCAAGUCGAACGGCAGCACAGUAAGAGCUUGCUCUUACGGGUGGCGAGUGGCGGACGGGUGAGGAAUACAUCGGGAUCUACUUUUUCGUGGGGGGUAACGUAGGGAAACUUACGCUAAUACCGCAUACGACCUACGGGUGAAAGCAGGGGAUCUUCGGACCUUGCGCGAUUGAAUGAGCCGAUGUCGGAUUAGCUAGUUGGCGGGGUAAAGGCCCACCAAGGCGACGAUCCGUAGCUGGUCUGAGAGGAUGAUCAGCCACACUGGAACUGAGACACGGUCCAGACUCCUACGGGAGGCAGCAGUGGGGAAUAUUGGACAAUGGGCGCAAGCCUGAUCCAGCCAUACCGCGUGGGUGAAGAAGGCCUUCGGGUUGUAAAGCCCUUUUGUUGGGAAAGAAAAGCAGCAGGUUAAUACCCCGCUGUUCUGACGGUACCCAAAGAAUAAGCACCGGCUAACUUCGUG
This 492-nucleotide ribosomal RNA is filed under the name uncultured bacterium. Its description in RNAcentral is "partial 16S ribosomal RNA". It matches the Rfam family "Bacterial small subunit ribosomal RNA", at positions 29 to 507 of the family's 1533-position model. The record is from RNAcentral.